GGUCCGCCCGCCCGAGGAGGUGGCCCGGUUCCUGUCCGGGCAGGCGCCGACGACGAUCGUCGCGCCGCCGGCCGCCA
This 77-nucleotide transfer RNA is filed under the name Mycolicibacterium litorale. Its description in RNAcentral is "tRNA-Arg". The record is from RNAcentral. Lineage: Bacteria; Bacillati; Actinomycetota; Actinomycetes; Mycobacteriales; Mycobacteriaceae.